AGUAUUUUUAAAAGAAAAAUUAGAAACAAGGGGUCAAAGUAAAAAAGAAAUUUGGCUAUAUAGGAUGGCCUAGUCAGCAAUCCCGAUGAACCGUAGCACACCGCGUGGCAAGACACACUGAUGUCGAUGCCAUAUGGAAGGCCACGCAGGCGAUCCACAUGUCUAAUGAUCGGGCGACCCAGGAUUGAUUCCAUGUGCAUAGACGACUCAUAUUCAU
RNAcentral lists this long non-coding RNA (217 nucleotides) under Carica papaya (papaya). RNAcentral's name for it is "long non-coding RNA (CPAP_LNC011819)". Lineage: Eukaryota; Viridiplantae; Streptophyta; Magnoliopsida; Brassicales; Caricaceae. The record is from RNAcentral.